This 403-nucleotide ribosomal RNA is filed under the name uncultured bacterium. Its description in RNAcentral is "bacterial SSU rRNA". It matches the Rfam family "Bacterial small subunit ribosomal RNA", at positions 355 to 775 of the family's 1533-position model. The record is from RNAcentral.
UAGGGAAUAUUAGAAAUGGACGAAAGUCUGAUCUAGCAACACCGCGUGUGCGAAGAAGGCCUUCGGGUUGUAAAGCACUUUUUGGAAGGAUUAGGAAGGAAUGUACUUCCAGAAUAAGUCUCGGCUAACUACGUGCCAGCAGCCGCGGUAACACGUAGGAGGCAAACGUUAUCCGGAUUUACUGGGCGUAAAGCGCGUGUAGGUGGUUCUGUAAGUAGGGCGUGAAAGCUCCUGGCUCAACUGGGAGAGGCCGUUCUAAACUGCAGAGCUAGAGGAUGGUAGAGGGAGGUGGAAUUCCGGGUGUAGCGGUGGAAUGCGCAGAUAUCCGGAGGAACACCAGUGGCGAAAGCGGCCUCCUGGACCAUUCCUGACACUCAGACGCGAAAGCUAGGGUAGCAAACGG